GUGCCAGCAGCCGCGGUAAUACGGAGGGUGCAAGCGUUGCUCGGAAUUACUGGGCGUAAAGGGCGUGUAGGCGGUUUCGUAUGUCUGGCGUGAAAGCCCCGGGCUCACCUCGGGAAGUGCGUCGGAAACUGCGAGACUAGAGUCCCGGAGAGGGAGGUGGAAUUCCAGGUGUAGCGGUGAAAUGCGUAGAUAUCUGGAAGAACACCGGUGGCGAAAGCGGCCUCCUGGACGGUGACUGACGCUGAGACGCGAAAGCGUGGGGAGCAAACAGGAUUAGAAACCCCUGUAGUCC
This 292-nucleotide ribosomal RNA is filed under the name uncultured bacterium. Its description in RNAcentral is "partial 16S ribosomal RNA". It matches the Rfam family "Bacterial small subunit ribosomal RNA", at positions 505 to 796 of the family's 1533-position model. The record is from RNAcentral.